Molecule: non-coding RNA, 180 nt
Filed under: Oryza sativa (Asian cultivated rice)
Lineage: Eukaryota; Viridiplantae; Streptophyta; Magnoliopsida; Poales; Poaceae
Source: RNAcentral
ACUCCUUGACUUUGUACUGCUAUACACAUCUAGUUCAUAUCUCUGUGAAUGCUGAUCAAUAUCAUAGAUCACAAUGAUCAGGCCACGCUGUUCGGAUCUUGUAUUCGUGUCAUGAGAUCAACUUUUCGGUUAGGCCUCGUGCUGGGGAUGUAGCUCAGAUGGUAGAGCGCUCGCUUAGCA